UGUAAUCGUAACUUUUCCUUUAUCAGCCUUAAAAGGUUUCAUCUGAUAUGCCAUGGGAGUGAUUUCUUAAGCUUUUGGGAAGUAGUAUUCAUACUAACAGCAAUGAAUUGAGUCUAUUGUAAUUCCCUUGGGAUGCACGUCCUUCCUGGUUUGAUUUUGGUUUUUUUGAUUGAUUUUUCUUGGCAGGAAAAUACGGAGUCUUUGUCUGAUAAGGAGAAGACCUUGUUAUCCCUAGCAAAGAUGGGGUAUACGGUGGAAGAGGCGUCAAUAGCUAUGGAUAGAUGUGGUCCAGAUGCCUCAAUUGAUGAAAUAACAGAUUUUUUAUGUGCUGCUCAAAUGGCAAAGGCAGCAGAU
Non-coding RNA from Camellia sinensis, 354 nucleotides. Lineage: Eukaryota; Viridiplantae; Streptophyta; Magnoliopsida; Ericales; Theaceae. The record is from RefSeq and is a predicted model, not a curated record.